GGCGGGACACGUGGUAUCCUGUCUGAAUAUGGGGGGACCAUCCUCCAAGGCUAAAUACUCCUGACUGACCGAUAGUGAACCAGUACCGUGAGGGAAAGGCGAAAAGAACCCCGGCGAGGGGAGUGAAAAAGAACCUGAAACCGUGUACGUACAAGCAGUGGGAGCACCCUUUGGGGUGUGACUGCGUACCUUUUGUAUAAUGGGUCAGCGACUUAUAUUCUGUAGCAAGGUUAACCGUAUAGGGGAGCCGGAGGGAAACCGAGUCUUAAUUGGGCGUUAAGUUGCAGGGUAUAGACCCGAAACCCGGUGAUCUAGCCAUGGGCAGGUUGAAGGUUGGGUAACACUAACUGGAGGACCGAACCGACUAAUGUUGAAAAAUUAGCGGAUGACCUGUGGCUGGGGGUGAAAGGCCAAUCAAACCGGGAGAUAGCUGGUUCUCCCCGAAAGCUAUUUAGGUAGCGCCUCGUGAAUUCAUCUCCGGGGGUAGAGCACUGUUUCGGCUAGGGGGCCAUCCCGGCUUACCAACCCGAUGCAAACUGCGAAUACCGGAGAAUGUUAUCACGGGAGACACACGGCGGGUGCUAACGUCCGUCGUGAAGAGGGAAACAACCCAGACCGCCAGCUAAGGUCCCAAAGUCAUGGUUAAGUGGGAAACGAUGUGGGAAGGCCCAGACAGCCAGGAUGUUGGCUUAGAAGCAGCCAUCAUUUAAAGAAAGCGUAAUAGCUCACUGGUCGAGUCGGCCUGCGCGGAAGAUGUAACGGGGCUAAACCAUGCACCGAAGCUGCGGCAGCGACGCUGAUGCGUUGUUGGGUAGGGGAGCGUUCUGUAAGCCUG
This 835-nucleotide ribosomal RNA is filed under the name Salmonella enterica subsp. enterica serovar Wien. RNAcentral describes it as "partial 23S ribosomal RNA". It matches the Rfam family "Bacterial large subunit ribosomal RNA", at positions 416 to 1251 of the family's 2925-position model. Lineage: Bacteria; Pseudomonadati; Pseudomonadota; Gammaproteobacteria; Enterobacterales; Enterobacteriaceae. The record is from RNAcentral.